ACCUGCCCCCGGGAGCUGUCCCCGCCGCGGCCCCACCCGCGGCCCAGCUUCCCUGGGGCGGGGCCGGACAGGGCGGAGCCAAGGCCGGGCGUCCAGGGGAAAGGAGGUUCCCAAGGUGCAGGGAAGUAUCAAUUGUGAUUUUCCAAAUCGAUACCGGGGCUUCCUCGGACGAGGUGCUGCAGGUAAUGGAGUCAAGGCCUCAAGGAAAUAGCAGCAGGGACCAACAGACUCCGACCGUUCUGGACAGUCAGGCCCGCUUCGCGAAGGAGACUUGCGGCGGGUGGAAUCACGGUUGCGGAAGAGCCGAAAGCGCGGGUGGGGGAACCAGGCUGGUUCCACCUUAAGAGACCGCGCGGCACGGCGGCUGCGGAGGCGCCAGGCACCUGCAGGAGGCGCUGCUGCCCCGCGGUUCCGCCCGCGCCGCGGCGCGCCGCCAGCCUCGCUGCUCGCGGGCCUCGGUCCCCGGAGGGGGUGGGGACGCUGGGGGAGGAAGGGAGCGAGUGCAUCCGUUAGGUAAGGAACCCGAGCCCUCCCGGAUUUUGAAGCGGCCUCAGUGAGGCGUUUGCUGGAGGGAGCUUUCCGUCAUUCUGCCGCGAGAGGAAAUGUGGGGAAGCGCCCUCCCCUGCCCCCACCGCCUGCCUUCCUGCUUCCCUCCACCUCCGCUCCCCGACCCCGACCGUGCUUCCCAGACCCUUUGUUCUCGAGGUUGGGAGCUGCUGGGUGGGGGCUCCCCGGGGAAGAGGUCCCCCUGCGCCACUCGGAAAGAAAGGGAUUCUCGCCUCACCCCCCCACCCUCAGCCCUUCGCAGCUAAGUCCUCCUCGCCCCACCGCCCCUUCCUUCGCGUCCUAAUGCUUCUUUCCUGCCCCGGACUCCCCCCCAGCUCCCGAGCCUCCCGCUCCCAGGCCUCCACCGUCUGUUUGCCCGCCUCCCUUCCCACUUGGCCACCUCCAAGGUCUCUGGGAAGAGGGUGGGAGAGGCAGACGUGAGGGGGAGGAGGAACCACGUCGCCUCCGCGGCUCGGAGAAUCCCCAGGGAGCCUUUUAGGCCCCGACCCCUGGGACCCGCCGCAGAGGAAGGGGUUUCCCGGCGCCGCCGCAGGGCGAAGGGACAGCCCCAGCUGGGAGGCCGCCCCCUCCGCGUCGCCGGGAGCCCAAGGGCGCACAACCCCGCCCGAGCCUUGGGGUGAGGGCCCCGCCGUGCGCGGCCUCCCCGUCGGCACCCGAGCCCCACGCUUGGAGAGAAGGGGACGCCGUUUCUCCCCAGUUGGAGAAAAGGGGACACCGUAGUUCGUGCCCUGGGAAGGCGAAUUGCAAACGGACGCCCCCUUCUUCCCCUACCCACCCUCUGGGGCGCCACCCGCGUAGCUUCUCCGCCGCGCGCGACCCCGAGGGCUCCCGCGAUUGUAUCUUCUUGAGUACAGUUACAAUUGCGCUCAGCUUCAUUUCUUACUUAGGCGAAGGCGUCGCUAAGUGAAGCCAAGGGACAGGGAUGCAGGGGGACAGAAGCUGGGGCAGGAGACUGAACGGAGAGGUAGGAGGACGUGGCUGGGCGGCCCAGGCGUGGACGGCCUCCCGGAGUCCCGAGUCCCGAGGCAGUUGAGGCAGGACUGCCCGGGCAGGCCCACGCCCCGGCCCGGGCAGCCGCAGCCCAGCAGCCGAGCCCUCCACGCCCUCAGCUCUGAAUGAGCCUUCUCAGCGUGCCAUCUACGCCCUCCGCGCGCUCGCGACCGUGGAGGGGGCUCCGGAGGAGCCGGGGCGCGAAGUAGGUUUCCCCUCCCCUCCCCCCCGCCACCCCGGGAGAAGUGGACGCGGCCUGGGGCAGUCAGCUCGGGGCUUCCUGGGAUCCCCUCCGGCCUCUGGUGUGACCCUGGACCUCACUGGCUCUUCGCGCGCCGCGCCAGCAGUUCUCUGGGCAGCGGGUUCCCCGGGACACACCCCGUCCCCACCCCCGAGAGCUGGCGGCCAGCUCGGGAUGCCAGGCGGCCAGGCGGGCGCCCUGCCAAAUUCCGCGUUCCUCUCCAGGAGACGGGGAGUUGCGUCCCAGGCUCGGGAAAGCCCGCAGUUUGGACUUGGGACUCGCUUGCAAAGCCCCCCAAGGCGCCAGGGACGCCUCUGCAGGUUGAAUUCCUGCUCCGUAUCACUUCAAUUUUAAUUAAUCUUUUAAAACACCGCUGUCACGUCGCUUGCAGAAAAUUAAUCAAACCUGAAUCCUUGUUGCAUAGCAAGAAUUUCGAUCCGAGUCUUUUAAAAAGGACUUGACUUUGCAAAGUCACGUCUUUUACAGUUCCCUCAUUCCCCCUUUAGCAAGGGAAAUAUUGCAAAAGUCAAGACAUGUUUGUUUGGUUCUUUCUAUCUUCAAAAUGAAACUUUGCUUAUUUCUGAUCUUUAUUUUCUGUCUUUGAACAAAAAAAUAACGAGAUAAAUUGCCUACCUCUGUUAAUUCAAAAUAUAAUUACUUUGAAUGAUCUUUGUUUAAGAGCCCAGAUAAACUAAGAUAAUCUUAAUUUUAAUGUGACACGACCCCUAUUUUUCCUUGUGAAUAAUGAGAAUAAAGCAGUCAUUAAUUAAUACCAAGAUAUCUCCAUAGAAGAUGGUAUCUGGUCUCACCGAGAGGCUGAAACAUCAGUUGUAUUAGUAAGUGAUACUGUAUAAUUGAACAUGAAGAUAGUCGUCUAUUUUUAACCUCAAAGCUCAGAGUUUAUUUGGUGAUUACUGAGCUCCUAAUAAUUAAUUUUCGUUCCUUCUUGCUGCAUAAAUAAUUUCUAUGAUUCCCAGUUCCCAUGCAACACAGAGGCUUCUCAUUAAAAUCCACCCCUCAAAAUAUGUGAAGCCGGAUUGUGGAGCAACCCUUUCUAUUUCAUUACUUAUAACAUAUAUAUGCUCUAUUUUUUAUAUCUUCCUGUCACGUUCCCCCUUUGCUGUGAUUUACCUACUAAAAAAAAAUAGAAUAUAA
This is a long non-coding RNA of Leopardus geoffroyi (Geoffroy's cat), 2953 nucleotides long. RefSeq lists it as uncharacterized. NCBI's taxonomy places the organism in Eukaryota, Metazoa, Chordata, Mammalia, Carnivora, Felidae. The transcript is spliced from 2 exons. The record is from RefSeq and is a predicted model, not a curated record.